RNAcentral lists this ribosomal RNA (1637 nucleotides) under human gut metagenome. RNAcentral's name for it is "bacterial LSU rRNA". It matches the Rfam family "Bacterial large subunit ribosomal RNA", at positions 830 to 2483 of the family's 2925-position model. The record is from RNAcentral.
CAAUCGAACUCGGAGAUAGCUGGUUCUCCCCGAAAUAGCUUUAGGGCUAGCGUCGGAUAUGUGUAGUGGAGGUAGAGCACUGAAUGGGCUAGGGGGCAUAUCGCUUACCGAACCUUAUCAAACUCCGAAUGCCAUAUACAUUAAGUCCGGCAGUCAGACUACGAAUGAUAAGAUCCGUGGUCAAAAGGGAAACAGCCCAGAUCGUCAGCUAAGGUCCCAAAGUGUAAGUUAAGUGGAAAAGGAUGUGGGAUUUCUAAGACAACUAGGAUGUUGGCUUAGAAGCAGCCACUCAUUUAAAGAGUGCGUAAUAGCUCACUAGUCGAGAGAUCCUGCGCCGAAAAUGUCCGGGGCUCAAACUUACCACCGAAGCUACGGGCUUGCGUAAGCAAGCGGUAGGGGAGCGUCGUAAUCGGGCUGAAGUCGUACCGUAAGGAGCGGUGGACUGAUUACGAGUGAGAAUGUUGGCAUUAGUAGCGAGAUGUAGGUGAGAAUCCUACAGGCCGAAUAUCUAAGGUUUCCUCAGGAAGGCUCGUCCGCUGAGGGUUAGUCGGGACCUAAGCCGAGGCCGAAAGGCGUAGGUGAUGGACAAUCGGUUGAUAUUCCGAUACCACUACCAUCGUUAUUAUCGAGGGUGUGACGGAGAAGGAUAGUGUGUGCUAGCGAUUGGAAAUGCUAGUCUAAGCGUUUAGGGAGUUACGGUAGGCAAAUCCGCUGUAACAAUUCUGAGGCGUGAUGGGGAAGGUCAUUAAGACCGAAGUACAUGAUUCCAUGCUUCCAAGAAAAGCAUCUAGAGAGAGAAGUAGUGCCCGUACCGCAAACCGACACAGGUAGAUGAGGAGAGAAUCCUAAGGCCGGCGGAAGAAUUGCAGUUAAGGAACUAGGCAAAUUGACCCCGUAAGUUCGCGAGAAGGGGUGCCUGCGAGAGCAGGCCGCAGAGAAUAGGCCCAAGCAACUGUUUAGCAAAAACACAGGUCUCUGCUAAAGCGUAAGCUGAUGUAUAGGGGCUGACGCCUGCCCGGUGCUGGAAGGUUAAGGGGAACACUUAGCGCAAGCGAAGGUGUGAACUUAAGCCCCAGUAAACGGCGGCCGUAACUAUAACGGUCCUAAGGUAGCGAAAUUCCUUGUCAGGUAAGUUCUGACCCGCACGAAUGGCGUAAUGACUUGGGCACUGUCUCAACUGCAAAUCCGGCGAAGUUGUAGUGCGAGUGAAGAUGCUCGCUACCCGCGAUUGGACGGAAAGACCCCGUAGAGCUUUACUGUAGCUUAGCAUUGAAUUCCGGUAUUGUCUGUACAGGAUAGGUGGGAGACUGGGAAACUAGGGCGUCAGCCUUAGUGGAGUCAACCUUGGGAUACCACCCUGACAGUACUGGGGUUCUAACAGGACGCCAUGAAACUGGUGACUGGACAUUGUUAGGUGGGCAGUUUGACUGGGGCGGUCGCCUCCUAAAAAGUAACGGAGGCGCCCAAAGGUUCCCUCAGAACGGUCGGAAAUCGUUCGUAGAGUGCAAAGGCAAAAGGGAGCUUGACUGCGAGACCUACAAGUCGAGCAGGGACGAAAGUCGGGCUUAGUGAUCCGGUGGUUCCGCAUGGAAGGGCCAUCGCUCAACGGAUAAAAGCUACCCUGGGGAUAACAGGCU